RNAcentral lists this ribosomal RNA (450 nucleotides) under uncultured bacterium. Its description in RNAcentral is "partial 16S ribosomal RNA". It matches the Rfam family "Bacterial small subunit ribosomal RNA", at positions 354 to 796 of the family's 1533-position model. The record is from RNAcentral.
GUGGGGAAUCUUCCGCAAUGGACGAAAGUCUGACGGAGCAACGCCGCGUGAGUGAAGAAGGUUUUCGGAUCGUAAAGCUCUUUCGUUAGGGACGAACGUGCUCUUUGUGAAUAAUGAGGAGUAAUGACGGUACCUAAAUAAGAAGCCACGGCUAACUACGUGCCAGCAGCCGCGGUAAUACGUAGGUGGCAAGCGUUGUCCGGAAUUAUUUGGCGUAAAGCGCGCGCAGGCGGGAUAUCAAGUCUGUCUUAAAAGUGCGAGGCUCAACCACGUGAGAGGACAGAAACUGGUAUUCUUGAGUGUCGGAGAGGAAAGUUGAAUUCCAAGUGUAGCGGUGAAAUGCGUAGAGAUUUGGAAGAACACCAGUGGCGAAGGCGACUUUCUGGACGAUGUCUGACGCUGAGGCGCGAAAGCUAGGGGAGCGAACGGGAUUAGAAACCCUGGUAGUCC